GGGGAUAAUACUGGAUAGGCAAUUAUUCCUGUAAUGGUUUUUUGUUUAAAUGUUUUUUCGCCUAAGGAUGAGUCUGCGGCCGAUUAGGUAGUUGGUUAGGUAAUGGCUUACCAAGCCGUUGAUCGGUACGGGUUGUGAGAGCAAGAGCCCGGAGAUGGAACCUGAGACAAGGUUCCAGGCCCUACGGGGUGCAGCAGGCGCGAAACCUCCGCAAUGUGAGAAAUCGCGACGGGGGGAUCCCAAGUGCCAUUCUUAACGGGAUGGCUUUUCAUUAGUGUAAAAAGCUUUUGGAAUAAGAGCUGGGCAAGACCGGUGCCAGCCGCCGCGGUAACACCGGCAGCUCUAGUGGUAGCAAUUUUUAUUGGGCCUAAAGCGUCCGUAGCCGGUUUAAUAAGUCUCUGGUGAAAUCCUGUAGCUUAACUAUGGGAAUUGCUGGAGAUACUAUUAGACUUGAGACCGGGAGAGGUUAGAGGUACUCCCAGGGUAGAGGUGAAAUUCUGUAAUCCUGGGAGGACCGCCUGUUGCGAAGGCGUCUAACUGGAACGGUUCUGACGGUGAGGGACGAAAGUUAGGGGCGCGAACCGGAUUAGAUACCCGGGUAGUCCUAACUGUAAACGAUGCGGACUUGGUGUUGGGGUGGCUUUGAGCUGCUCCAGUGCCGAAGGGAAGCUGUUAAGUCCGCCGCCUGGGAAGUACGGUCGCAAGACUGAAACUUAA
RNAcentral lists this ribosomal RNA (717 nucleotides) under uncultured archaeon. RNAcentral's name for it is "bacterial SSU rRNA". It matches the Rfam family "Archaeal small subunit ribosomal RNA", at positions 142 to 859 of the family's 1478-position model. The record is from RNAcentral.